UCCGGCCGGUGCUGAGCAACCAAGCUCAUGCGCCAUAGCUCUUCAGCUCGGGAAAGCUGUAUUUAGCAGGUUUCCGGAAGUUGCAGGACGGUCUGUGAGGCGGUCCUGGUCCUGCCUCGCUGCCUUCAGUUCUUAGUGUCUGGGUCCCCGCCCUCCAGCCGCCUUUAAGUCCUGCCUGGGUCUUCGCCCUUGCCUCAGAACCGCGAAGAAAGGAAGCUCGCGUGUUUGCUAGAAAACCUAGUUGAGAGUGCGAGACAGAGAACGUUCAGCACCUUUGUUCCUCCCGAACCUUCGGGACAGACGCAGGGUUCUGAGGGCAGAGAUUCCCCCUCGUCUUGGCCCCACAGCCCGGGCUGGGCACUAAACUCGGGCCGCGGCGGGGCGAGCGAGGCGGGCUCCGGAGGAAGCUGACGCCUGAUGAUGGCUCAGUCCAACAUGCUCCCCGUGGCUGAUGUGUUGAGUCAAGAUGAACUGCGCAAAAAGCUAUACCAGACGUUUAAGGAUCGGGGUAUACUGGAUAGACUCAAGACACAACUUCGAAACCAGCUGAUUCAUGAGUUGAUGCACCCUGUAUUGAGUGGAGAACUGCAACCUCGGUCCAUUUUGGUAGAAGGGAGCUCCCUCUUAAUAGGCGCCUCUAACUCUUUAGUGGCAGAUCACUUACAAAGAUGUGGCUAUGAAUAUUCACUUUCUGUUUUCUUUCCAGAAAGUGGUUUGGCAAAAGAAAAGGUAUUUACUAUGCAGGAUCUAUUACAACUCAUUAAAAUCAACCCUACUUCCAGUCUCUACAAAUCACUGGUUUCAGGAUCUGAUAAAGAAAAUCAAAAAGGUUUUCUUAUGCAUUUUUUAAAAGAAUUGGCAGAAUAUCAUCAAGCUAAAGAGAGUUGUAAUAUGGAAACUCAGACAAGUUCGACAUUUAACAGAGAUUCUCUGGCUGAGAAGCUUCAGCUUAUUGAUGAUCAGUUUGCAGAUGCUUACCCUCAGCGUAUCAAGUUCGAAUCUUUAGAAAUAAAGCUAAAUGAAUAUAAGAGAGAAAUAGAAGAGCAACUUCGGGCAGAAAUGUGUCAAAAGUUGAAGUUUUUUAAAGAUACCGAGAUAGCAAAAAUUAAAAUGGAAGCAAAAAAAAAGUAUGAAAAGGAAUUAGCCAUGUUCCAGAAUGAUUUUGAGAAAGCUUGUCAAGCAAAAUCUGAAGCCCUCGUUCUUCGAGAAAAGAGUACCCUUGAAAGAAUUCAAAAGCACCAAGAGAUUGAAACAAAAGAAAUUUAUGCUCAAAGGCAACUUUUACUAAAAGAUAUGGAUUUGCUAAGAGGAAGAGAAGCAGAGCUGAAGCAAAGAGUUGAAGCUUUUGAAUUGAACCAGAAGCUCCAGGAAGAAAAACAUAAAAGCAUAACUGAGGCACUUAGGAGACGGGAGCAGAAUAUAAAGAGUUUUGAGGAGACCUAUGACCGAAAGCUCAAGAAUGAACUUCUGAAGUAUCAACUUGAACUGAAGGAUGACUACAUCAUUAGAACUAAUCGACUGAUUGAAGAUGAAAGGAAGAAUAAAGAAAAAGCUGUUCAUUUGCAAGAGGAGCUCAUAGCUGUUAAUUCAAAAAAGGAGGAACUCAAUCAAUCUGUAAAUCGUGUGAAAGAACUUGAGCUUGAAUUAGAGUCUGUCAAAGCCCAGUCUUUGGCAAUAACAAAACAAAACCAUAUGCUGAAUGAAAAGGUUAAAGAGAUGAGUGAUUAUUCACUACUAAAAGAAGAGAAACUGGAGCUUCUGGCACAAAAUAAAUUACUUAAACAACAACUGGAAGAGAGUAGAAAUGAAAACUUGCGUCUCCUAAACCGCCUAGCUCAGCCGGCUCCUGAACUUGCAGUCUUUCAGAAAGAACUACGGAAAGCCGAAAAGGCUAUAGUGGUUGAGCAUGAGGAGUUCGAAAGCCGCAGACAAGCUCUGCACAAACAACUGCAAGAUGAAAUUGAGCAUUCUGCACAGCUGAAGGCCCAGAUUCUAGGUUACAAAGCUUCUGUAAAGAGGUUAACUACUCAGGUUGCCGAUUUAAAAUUGCAACUGAAGCAAACUCAGACAGCCCUAGAGAAUGAAGUGUACUGCAAUCCAAAGCAGUCUGUGAUCGAUCGUUCUGUCAAUGGAUUAAUAAAUGGCAAUGUGGUGCCUUGCAAUGGUGAGAUAAGUGGGGAUUUCUUGAACAAUCCUUUUAAACAGGAAAACGUUCUAGCACGUAUGGUUGCAUCAAGGAUCACAAAUUAUCCAAAUGCAUGGGUGGAAGGUAGUUCCCCUGAUUCUGACCUUGAGUUUGUAGCCAAUACUAAGGCAAGGGUCAAAGAGCUUCAGCAAGAGGCCGAACGCUUGGAAAAGGCUUUCAGAAGUUACCAUCGGAGAGUCAUUAAAAACUCUGCCAAAAGCCCACUAGCAGCAAAGAGCCCACCAUCUCUGCACUUGCUGGAAGCCUUCAAAAACAUUACUUCCAGUUCCCCGGAAAGACAUAUUUUUGGAGAGGACAGAGUUGUCUCUGAGCAGCCUCAAGUGGGCACACUUGAAGAAAGGAAUGACAUCUUGGAAGCACUGACAGGCAGUGCAGCCUCGAGGCUCCGCGGGGGCACUUCCUCCAGACGCCUCUCCUCCACACCCCUUCCAAAAGCAAAAAGAAGCCUCGAAAGUGAAAUGUAUCUGGAAGGUCUGGGCAGAUCACACGUUGCUUCCCCCAGUCCUUGUCCUAACAGAAUGCCCCUACCAUCACCCACUGAGUCUAGGCACAGCCUCUCCAUCCCUCCCGUCUCCAGCCCUCCGGAGCAGAAAGUGGGUCUUUAUCGAAGACAAACUGAACUUCAAGACAAAAGUGAAUUUUCAGAUGUGGACAAGCUAGCUUUUAAGGAUAAUGAGGAGUUUGAAUCAUCUUUUGAAUCUGCAGGGAACGUGCCAAGGCAGUUGGAAAUGGGCGGGCUUUCUCCUGCCGGGGAUAUGCCUCAUGUGGACGCUGCUGCAGCUGCUGUGCCCCUCUCAUAUCAGCACCCAAGUGUAGAUCAGAAACAAAUUGAAGAACAAAAGGAAGAAGAAAAAAUACGGGAACAGCAAGUGAAAGAACGAAGGCAGAGAGAAGAAAGAAGGCAGAGUAACCUACAAGAAGUUUUAGAAAGGGAACGAAGAGAACUAGAAAAACUGUAUCAGGAAAGGAGGAUGAUUGAAGAAUCACUGAAGAUUGAAAUAGAAAAUGAAUUAGAAAUGGAAAAUGAAUUAGAAAUGAGUAAUCAAGAAAUAAAAGACAAAUCUGCUCACAGUGAAAAUCCUUUAGAGAAAUACAUGAAAAUCAUCCAGCAGGAGCAAGACCAGGAGUUGGCAGAUAAGAGCUCAAAAAAGAUGGUCCAAGAAGGCUCCCUAGUGGACACGCUGCAAUCUAGUGACAAAGUCGAAAGGUGACUAAGAGUGGGAUUAGUGACCUUAUAAAAGGGCUCAAUGGAACUAGCUAGGCCCUUUUGCCCUUCCACCAUUUGAAGACACUGCAUUGAUCCCCUCUGGAGAACACAGCAACAAGGCACCAUCUUGGAAGCAGAGACCGGACCUUCACCAGACAUCGAACCUGCCAGUGCCUUCCUUGAUCUUGGACUUCCCAGCCUCUAAAACUCACUUGUUUUCAUUUUCAUCAUUGAAACUGGUUAUCAGGCAAUCAAAAAUAACAGAAAAUGAGCAGUGGUCCAGCAUUCGCUAAUUCGGUGCUUGAGGUGACUUUAUGGAACAUAGCUACCCUGUAUGAGAGUGACCAUAUAAAUAGUCCAAAUUACACCACCUACAAUCGGUGCCAAGGCAACCAACUAAUACUUCCUGUAAACUACAUGUGGUGUUCUACUUUGAAAAUCUUUCUGAAGAGAUGUUCUCCAGAGCAGAGCCACAUAUUUUUCCCGGGAAAGCAUUCCAAGGAAUGAUACCUGUAAAAUGAACCCCAAUAGGAUGUUAGUACAAACUAUAGUGCCUCAUGUUCUUAAUAGACCCCACCACUUUGGAUGCCAGUUACAGUGUAAUUGUAGGCUAUGUUCUUCAUUAAGAAUUGAUGGAUCUGCUGUCUGCAGAACAAGCAUUUUGGAAUAAAUAGCCCCAUUUGAACAACAGGCCAAAAGCAAAGCCAACUAGUCCAUAAGAGAUUUAAACAGCCUAUUUUUUUCCCCUACAAAUUGUGCUUUAUUCAGUGAGGGUUCACAUUUGGAAGUUCAUGUUUGUAAAGAUUAAUUUUCAAAGCCAGGCUUUCCCUAUAGUUACUACAGGACAACCCCCUCAUAAAGCAUUUUAUCACAUUGAGGUCAAAAUACAUUGCCUCAUGAAUGUUGUGGUCUGUGGCCUUGCUGUCCAAGCUCUGUUACUGGUCUGCCAGGAGUUAAGUUCCGAAAUUGCAAGUAUACACUCAAACUUUCAUGGCAGUUUGAUGGAGUAAUUUAUGUUUGUGGGAAUCCAAUAAAAAACUCUGGAUGUGUACUUUGUUUUUAUAUUCAUUUUUAUUACGUCUUAUAAAUGUAUUCGAAAAUAUUUUUGGACUGAAAAUCAAUUUUUUUUUUUUUUUUUGAGACAGUCUUGCUCUGUCGCCCAGGCUGGAGUGGAGUGCUGCAAUAUUGGCUCACCACAGUCUCCACCUCCCAGGUUCAAGCAGUUCUCUGCUUCAGCCUCCCAAGUAGCUGGGAUUACAGGUGCCUGCCACCACGCCCAGCUAAGUUUUGUAUUUUUAGUAGAGACGGGGUUUCACCAUCUUAGCCAGGCUGGUCUUGAACUCCCGACCUCGUGAUCCACCCGCCUUGACCUCCCAAAGUGCUGGGAUUACAGGCAUGAGGCAUCGUGCCUGGCCAGAAAUUUUUUAAAAAGAAAAAACACUACUGUCCUUUACCCCAGAGGGUGGGACAAGCAGAGUCUAUGAUUUCUCUCUCACUUAAACCCUGAGGCUCCUCUGCAACGAAAAUUGUCCAGUGGGCUGCUGCUUUUUUUCCCCUUUAAUGCGUAAGUUUGUGCUUAAAUAUUAAACACUCCUAGGAGGUAAGGAAAGGAGUAUUAGAAGAAAACAAGUCCUUAUUCCUUUCAUCCUUGACACGGGCCAAGAGUACAUCUUUAUACUUCGGAAGCAUGGGAAAUUACCCCAAAUUGUCAGUGAAACCAGUAACUAUAACAAUAAAUAGGCAAAUAUAGAGGAUUUAAAAAGAUGAUUGCUGAUUACCAAAAAUUUGUGGCAAAACACUUAUUUUUAAGGAAUAGGGGAAUGAUAUACAUUUAGAUAUUCAUUUACAAAUACUUUAACAGCCAACUUUAGGCUCCGUUUUUAGCUCUAUCAUAAAGAACAGUGUUGUUCAGCCUUGGUCUUUGUGAGAAGAGAUUAGUCUGAUGGGUAGUUUCAAGCAAAUUUAGUAUUAUGUUGUAAGGUAAGAUGUUGAGACUAAGCCACAUGAGAAAAACAGCAAAAAUGAAAUAGUCAUCUCUCUUCAGAAAAGCUCUGGAAGGACAGUUAUUUCCUCUUCAAUUCUGAUGAAAGCUUUUUCCCCCACCCCUGGUUGUUUCUGCCAAGAAAAGAUUUCCUACCACCGUGGCUAGAAGCAGUAAUGAGACUCCUCCCUUAGGAUGCUGCCCUCUCUUACUCAGCAGCAAAGUCGAGUCCCAAAUUAAUUGACAGGAGGAGCCAGUGGUCUCUUCCAGGGUUUGUCACAAUGAACCAACCUUAGAUCCCCAUUGUAGGGAUCUCAUUCAUUAGAAAAUGUUUGAACUGGUUUCUAACAGCUGAUAAUGAUUUUUAUAGAGUAUGUUCUGAUGACUUUAAAAUAUGUCUGGAUCUAACGUUGUAUUUUUCAAUACAGAUGAAGUUUAAGCAGUUGGUCAUUUUAAAAAGACCAGAUUUGAGGAGUUGGAUGUGCAAAUUAAUUGAAUUAUACAAUGUGUGCAAUAUUAUUUUGAAUGGAAAGUUGGAUGUUAUAAAACUGAAAAUAAAGAAAAAAUAUAAUCUUUUUA
Pongo pygmaeus (Bornean orangutan) is the source of this 5973-nucleotide RNA transcript. It is a transcript of the gene named OFD1 centriole and centriolar satellite protein, with no coding region annotated. The transcript has 28 exons. The record is from RefSeq and is a predicted model, not a curated record. NCBI's taxonomy places the organism in Eukaryota, Metazoa, Chordata, Mammalia, Primates, Hominidae.